ACUACGGGUGGCAGCAGUGAGGAAUAUUGGUCAAUGGGAGAGAUCCUGAACCAGCCAAGCCGCGUGAGGGAAGACGGCCCUAUGGGUUGUAAACCUCUUUUGUCGGAGAACAAAACCCGGGACGUGUCCCGGACUGCGUGUAUCCGAAGAAAAAGCAUCGGCGAACUCCGUGCCAGCAGCAGCGGUAAUAAGGAGGAUGCGAAAGUUAUCCGGAUUUAGUGGGUUUAAAGGGUGCGUAGGCGGUCCGUUAAGUCAGCGGUAAAAUUGCGGGGCUCAACCCCGUCGAGCCGUUGAAACUGGCAUACUUGAGUUGGCGAGAGGUACGCGGAAUGCGCGGUGUAGCGGUGAAAUGCAUAGAUAUCGCGCAGAACUCCGAUUGCGAAGGCAGCGUACCGGCGCCAGACUGACGCUGAGGCACGAAAGCGUGGGGAUCGAACAGGAUUAGAUACCCUUGUAGUC
Molecule: ribosomal RNA, 459 nt
Filed under: uncultured bacterium
Lineage: Bacteria
Description: partial 16S ribosomal RNA
Rfam family: Bacterial small subunit ribosomal RNA
Source: RNAcentral